UGAGACCCUCAGGUAGGUUCUCUCUCCUGCUCUUGUGUGAUUCUCCAGUUACUCAUCACCUCCAGGAUGACCUGGGAGGUGUGCAGGCUGUGGGUCGGGUGUGGGAAAUGGGUGGGGUGGAGGAUAUGGGCAGUGGUAUGGGUGAUGGCGUGGACGGUGGCACUGGCCCAGAAUGAGGUUACCCUGGAAGUUCGACUCAAACAAGGUACCAUCAUUGGUCUCCGGGAAGAAACUGGGGUGGCCAACAAGUAUUUCUACAGCUUCCUUGGCAUUCCCUUCGCUCAGCCUCCAGUAGAUGGUCUCAGAUUUAGGGAUCCAGUGCCAGCAGGGGGAUGGAGGGGCACUAAGGACGGACGUGUGGUGUCUCCUGCAUGCCCUCAGCUGGAGUUUAACGCCUUCCUGGAGGGUGAGGUGAAGGUUCUGGGCCAAGAAGACUGCCUCUACCUCAACGUCUACACCCCACACCCCCUCCACCCUGGCCUGCCUGUGAUGGUGUGGAUCCACGGGGGCGCCUUCAUCCUCGGUGCCGCCCAUCACUACUCCCCGCUGCCCUUCCUCACCAAAGACAUCGUCCUCGUCACCAUCCAGUACCGCUUAGGGACUUUAGGCUUCCUCUCGACGGAAGACUCAACACUGCCUGGUAACCUGGGGCUAAAGGAUCAGACUUUGGCCCUACGUUGGGUGCAAGACAACAUUCGUGACCUCGGUGGUGACCCCAAUAAGGUCACUAUCUUUGGUCAGAGUGCCGGAGCCGCCUCAGUUCACCUGCAAGUUCUGUCACCACAUGCAAGAGGGUUGUUUCAGAGGGCCAUCCUUCAAUCCGGCUCAUCACUCAGCCCCUGGGCCACGCGGGCCGACCAUAGGCAGGUGGCCACUACCAUCGGCCAGGCGUUCAACUGCUCAGGUGUGAAGACGACGCCACAAGGUCUGAACAGCAGGGCGCUCCUCUACUGCCUCCAGACACUACCCCUCGAAGACCUGGUGGCCAUCCCCUCAGCCUUUGCAGUGUGGCUCAACACCCCGAUGGUGAUGACACCGAGGGUGGACGGAGACUUCCUGCCGGAUCACCCCGCCAGGCUGCUCAGGUCCAACAGGUACAAUAAGGUGGACCUCAUCUCUGGCGUCACUCAGCAUGAGGGCGCCCUGGCUGCCUUACCCAUCUUGACGAGCCGGGAGGUACAGGAAGCUCUGACGCAGGACUUCGGCGAGAUCGGCCCCGUCGCUGUGAACUUCGAGGACGAGGAUGCUGGUCUCUCCUUGGCUCGCCGCGUCUUCAAGUACUACCUUGGUGACCUCAACAUCACCGAAGCCUCUGCUAAAGAACUAGUCGAGCUCUUCGGUGAUCGAUGGUUUAACGUCCCUCACGAAGAGACGACGAGUUUACACAGUCGAGACACCGUGUUAGGGAAGAAUGUGGUCGCUUAUGCCCUGGUACACCGCGGAGAACACAGCCUCGCCGACGUCUACAACAGCCCUCUCGCCCUCACCUGGGUGAGCCACGCUGACGACCUACAGUACCUGUUCGAUGGAGCGGCGUCUCUCCCGCCCCUACAGCGCCCCCAGGACCUCGAACUCCGCCAGCUGAUGCUUACAAUGUGGACCAACUUCGCCGCCACUGGGUAAGAUCUUUUGACAACUUCGACACAAACUUCACGCACGUUCUUCACCAACUUCAUUCUAUAGAACCCGACCCCUGAUAAGACUCUAGGGGUGAGGUGGGUGUCAUCCUCUCCCGAUCGUCUCUCUUACUUGGCCCUCAGACCUAACCUGACCAUGCUGCCAGACACACGUGCUCAG
RNAcentral lists this unclassified non-coding RNA (1797 nucleotides) under Homarus americanus (American lobster). RNAcentral's name for it is "venom carboxylesterase-6-like, transcript variant X2". Lineage: Eukaryota; Metazoa; Arthropoda; Malacostraca; Decapoda; Nephropidae. The record is from RNAcentral.